This 508-nucleotide ribosomal RNA is filed under the name Semnorhynchus sp. ARC5137. RNAcentral's name for it is "SSU rRNA". It matches the Rfam family "Eukaryotic small subunit ribosomal RNA", at positions 91 to 581 of the family's 1831-position model. The record is from RNAcentral. Lineage: Eukaryota; Metazoa; Arthropoda; Insecta; Coleoptera; Curculionidae.
GAAAGGCUCAUUAAAUCAGUUAUGGUUCCUUAGAUCGUACCCACAAUUACUGGAUAACUGUGGUAAUUCUAGAGCUAAUACAUGCAAACAGAACUCCGACCGGAGACGGAAGGAGUGCUUUUAUUAGAUCAAAACCAAUCGGUGGCGGGCUCGUCAUCGUACAACUUGGUGACUCUGAAUAACUUUACGCUGAUCGCACGGUCAUCGCACCGGCGACGCAUCUUUCAAAUGUCUGCCUUAUCAACUGUCGAUGGUAGGUUCUGCGCCUACCAUGGUUGUAACGGGUAACGGGGAAUCAGGGUUCGAUUCCGGAGAGGGAGCCUGAGAAACGGCUACCACAUCCAAGGAAGGCAGCAGGCGCGCAAAUUACCCACUCCCGGCACGGGGAGGUAGUGACGAAAAAUAACGAUACGGGACUCAUCCGAGGCCCCGUAAUCGGAAUGAGUACACUCUAAACCCUUUAACGAGGAUCAAUUGGAGGGCAAGUCUGGUGCCAGCAGCCGCGGUA